Oncorhynchus nerka (sockeye salmon) is the source of this 2583-nucleotide long non-coding RNA. RefSeq lists it as uncharacterized. NCBI's taxonomy places the organism in Eukaryota, Metazoa, Chordata, Actinopteri, Salmoniformes, Salmonidae. The record is from RefSeq and is a predicted model, not a curated record. The transcript has 2 exons.
GUGGGAGGGGCUGUUUGUCCAGCUCUAUCAGCACCAGCGUGCCGAGGGAGGAGGGGCACACCACGUCGAAUUCACGAGACGCCUGCAAAGAGAGAGAGAGAGAUGGAGGAAGUGAGAGAUAGAUGGAGGGAAUGAAAGAAUGAGAUGGAGGGAGGGAGGGAGUGAGUGAGAGAGAGAGAAAGGGAAGGGCAGAGAGAGAAGAUGAGAGCGAGAGCGAGAGAGAGCAGAAUCUGGACCGUGUGAGAAAGCAAAUAACAAAGGCAAAUAUAACUAAUCCUGUACUACCAGUAUUAUUACUUAAGGGUCCAACAUACAGGCAACAAAGUCUUCAUGUCAUAUACACUAUAUGUGUAUGAACAUAUUGGGUGUGUUUGGGUGUGUUUUGAGUACAGUAUUUGAAAAAUGCAAAUGGUGCACCUCCUUGUCCAGAAUCCAACGGUAGAUGGGGAACUGGCAUGUGUCUCCCUCUGGCGUCGUCACGACAACCUUGGACGGGAACCAGGCGUCCUGGGGGAAGAGUGCGAGGGGCUGUUUGUCCAGCUCUAUCAGCACCAGCGUGCCGAGAGAGGAGGGGCACACCACGUCGAAUUCACGAGACACCUGUUGUCACAGACUCUGUUUUGGUGCAAGAUAUCCAAACAGGAUUUCACAAGUCUUGUAUAGUCACUAUAUGGAGUUAGUACUCUAUAUACACAAUACUGUACAGUAUUUUUUAAAUAGUAGGCAUGUCAGUUAAGAACAAAUGCUUAUUUACAAUGACGGCCUACACCGGCCAAACCCAGACGGCACUGGACCAAUUACGCACCGCCCUACAGGACUCCCAAUCACAGCUGGAUGUGAUCCAGCUUGGAAUCGAACCAGGAACUGUAGUGACGCCUCUUGCACUGAGAUGCAGUGCCUUAGACCACUGCGCCAGGACAGCCUCCAAAUCUUUCCAAAUACUUCCUACUUGCACUGAUGAUGCAACACCCAUUGUGCUUUUUUUUGGCAGGACACACACCGGUCAAUAUGUAUCACUAACUCGCUUCUUAUCGCAUAUCCUUCAUGGCAAAUUCCAAAGAAUAAGUGAGGCCAGAAGAGGCUGGUGGGAGGAGCUAUAGGAGGAACAGCUCAUCAUAAUGGCUGGAAUGGAAUCAAUAGAACGGGGUCAAACGUGGUUUUUAUGUUUCAUGUGUUUUAUGCCAUUCCAUUUACUGCAGUCUUUACAAUGAUCCCAUCCUCCUAUAGCUCCUCAUACCUGUGUGAGGCCCUCUGCUGAUGGAAAAGGGUUGCCGAAUAACAUAGGCUACUGUAAAUAUACACUAAAGUGUGGAAAAGCAUUUUACUUUAAGCAGACCAAGUAGUGAUGGCCCUUUUUUUUUAACAUUCAAACGAGGCACUUUUACAUGGUAACAUCAGGAAGCAGAUAAGGUGCAGGUCAGGUCCAUUCUCUCCAAGUAUUCUCUAAGUAUUCUCCUUCGGGGAUUUCAUAGGUUUUGUUGACAGCUAACAGGUAGAAGUAGUUGAGAUAGUAGGGGAGAUUAAAGAAAGCGAUCUAGGUCAGAAAGUGGCACAGCCGGGAACUGAACCCUUGCCUCCAGAGACAAAGGGUAUUAGAGCACUACCACGAGACCAGCCCCCAGGACAGCAUCUCAAAUAUCAAAAUACCUUUUAUUUAACAUUUACGUCUUCUUAGCAACCAAAAAAACAACAGAUUCGAUAACAACCAAAAUAUGAUAUCUUUCCCACAACGUCUACAUUUCGUCACAAAGUACAUCUUUACCUGGUUGCAUGACGUUUUCUCAAACAGAAAGUCAGUUGAAAACCAGAAAAUUACCAUUUUUGCCCACUGGGACAUCUAUUUGGGUCGUAACAGGACAAAUCCCACCUACUGUAUGCUGCCUUUCUGUUCAGAAAUGGAGUUGCAGGGACUGCAGUAUUUACAUAUGCAAUCUGUAUAUAACCUCACUGUGUACAUAAUACAGGGAUUCCUGCAGGACAAACACAGGCACAGGCACAGGGUAGACAGGGUCAGGAAGGAGGUCAAACCAAUAUAUGUCUUUAUCAUGGAGCUAGGUUUACAGUGAGCUUAGUGUGUCUACAGUAUGAGGCCCAUAUGGUUGUAAUAAUAGAUUUUAAAGAUUAAACUUUGUAAAUACACUAUCUUCACGUGAAAACACUUACAUACGCACCGAGCAGUGAUAGCAGACAUGAACUGUGAGUAGUACAAUGCUUUUGAUGCAACACCCCCUGUAUGUCAACUAUCAACGCAACCCUUGAGUUCUCUUUUAUGAUGAGACGGAAGACCUCUAGAUUUUAUGAAUGUGACCUCUUCCCUUAUCUUCAAAUGAUACACCCUUUAUCUCUUAUGCAAACAGAAGUCAGACACUUUGUAGAGUGAGGAGCUGAUCUCAGUCAUUUUAAUGAUGUGACAUCUGAGCACAUACAUACAGUACAACGUAAGAAUAAAAAAAAGAGGGACUGUUACAUCAAAUUAUGAAAUCUAAAUGUAAAACAAUAUACAGAAACAUAAGCAAAUAUUUUCUAAAUUUUGUUACGAUAAGUUUAUUAAAAUAAAAAGAAUGCCCGUUGGUAGACGAUGAA